AACGAACGCUGGCGGCAUGCCUAACACAUGCAAGUCGAACGAGACCUUCGGGUCUAGUGGCGCACGGGUGCGUAACGCGUGGGAACCUGCCCUUAGGUUCGGAAUAACUCCCCGAAAGGGGUGCUAAUACCGGAUAAUGUCUUCGGACUAAAGAUUUAUCGCCUUUGGAUGGGCCCGCGUUGGAUUAGCUAGUUGGUAGGGUAAAAGCCUACCAAGGCGACGAUCCAUAGCUGGUCUGAGAGGAUGAUCAGCCACACUGGGACUGAGACACGGCCCAGACUCCUACGGGAGGCAGCAGUGGGGAAUAUUGGACAAUGGGCGAAAGCCUGAUCCAGCAAUGCCGCGUGAGUGAUGAAGGCCUUAGGGUUGUAAAGCUCUUUUACCCGGGAUGAUAAUGACAGUACCGGGAGAAUAAGCGCCGGCUAACUCCGUG
RNAcentral lists this ribosomal RNA (433 nucleotides) under uncultured bacterium. RNAcentral describes it as "partial 16S ribosomal RNA". It matches the Rfam family "Bacterial small subunit ribosomal RNA", at positions 29 to 507 of the family's 1533-position model. The record is from RNAcentral.